AACACGCAAAGAACGAAAGAACGAUUGUUUUUGGUAACAGCGAACUAGUAGAGGUGGGUUGUUACAGCAAUUUUCGGUUUCUGUUCCAACCUGAUACUGAUACAGUAAUGUACCUAGUUACAAAUAUCUGUUACUUUUGUAUCAGAGCAGUAGCGGUCCCAGGAAUAGAGGUGGGUUGUUACAGAAAUUUUCGGUAUCUGUUCCAACCUGAUACUGAUACAGUAAUGUACCUAGUUACAAGUUUCCGAUACUUUUGUAUCAGAGCAGUAGCGGUCCCAGGAUGAACUAGUCACCUAGGGAUCUUUCCCGCAUGCGCAGUAAGGACCAAACAUAGUAGGAGAAGAGAAACACGCAAAGAACGAAAGAACUAUUGUUUUUGGUAACAACGAACUAGUCACCUAGUUCGCUCGUCAGAACAGUUCCAAAUGAACUGGUAGUUCGCGAACUACCCAUCCCUAGCGCCUAGUGUAAUUAUGUCUUUAUUAAUUCAGUAGUAUGUGGUACGAGUGCUUUGUCUUGCAUGUUGAAGUGCUUUGGUGCAGGUGUUUAUCUUGAGGCGUCGCCAAGGUCACGUCACGUCUUCGCACACGUCUUUUUUUUUUAUUCUCGUCAGUCUAUGUUGCGUUUCAGUCGCUAGUGUAAUGAGUUAAUCGAGUAAGUUUAUUAUUUAAAUUAUGAGUUUUAGAACGAUCGUUUGUAUCUUGCGUUUAACACAGUAAUAUAACAGAUUUUUCCUAGUGCUUCUCUCGUGACUUAUUGUAUCGGUGUUAUUCCCAACUAUUAUGUGGAUUUUAAUAUUGUUUUUUAAAAGAAUUACAAGGUAUGGUAGAGCCUCUUAUUUUUCUCUCCAGUGCAUAUGUUGAGAGUUGUCAUUUUUUUUAUCUGUCUUGAUACGUCGUUUUGUUUACAGUAAGCCAUUUAUUUAAUAGGGGAACUAUAAUUAUUUAAUAGCUAAUAUUAAGUUAAUGUGUGAUUUUGUCUUCGUUCAAUAUGAAUUUUACUUUCGUUGUUUGAACUCCUGCAGUUUGUUUAUAAAAAAAAAUUCCCAGCCAAGAUGGAGUCUUUCGCAGCACAGUGCUGCCAACUUUGAAUGUAGUACUUUCAUACUGACCCAAUGUUGUGUUUACUUCUGACAUUAGUAGUUCUCGACUCUUAUUUGUCAUUUUCAUUUUUUUUUUGGCUUGACUUUGAUGUCCAGGUUAGGCAUUUUCUUAAAAUAGUGUUUCUUCUUUUUGUGUUUUAGUAAAUCAUGAGUAUAUGUAUUUUUUUUGGAGGGUUUUAUAUUUGUAGUUACCUAGUAUGUUAUUUAGGAGUUAAGGUGUGGAGAGUUAUUUUGUUUUAACACUUUAUUCCUGCUUUCAGUUGAAGGUCCACCAUUCGGGUCCACUGUUAGCGAAUUAGUGACUUUAGGGUCCUUGACUCAGUCGAUCGUGGCCUGAUCACCCACGUGUCCUAGUCUUUGAGUCCCUCGUAACUUUUGUACUCGAGUCAUAAAAAUAAGUAAAUAAAAAAUCAUGGUACUAGUUUUUAAGUUGUUGCAACAUUUAAUUUUUUUUAAUAUUAUUUCUGGGGAACAAGUUUGGUUAUAGGGUUUUCUUAGUUUGCAUUUUUAUGUUCAAGUAAUCAUGUGGUUAUUAGUUGGUAUUUGGGGUAUGUAUUUUCGUACAAGUUAUUUUGUUAUCAUCUUCAUGUUUGGUUUUCAUGAGUUUUUUGUGUCCAUUUCACAUAAUUUAGGGUUUGGUGUAACAACUAGAUUAAUUUCAACACUGUUUUUUUAUUUUGUUUGUAAGAUUGAGGUUAUGUUUGGUAAUUGUCGUUUAAUUUGUCGCAAGUUAUUUGAGAGUUUUAAAAUUUAUAUUCCUUUUAACCUAUAAAAUUGUCGUGGUUAUAAUUCCAUAAUUUGCAUAUUCUUUAUUAAUAUAAUUCUAAAUGAAAUUUCAAUUUUAUAAGAUUGCAGGUUUUGUUCGUGAGAGAACUGUUUAAGCAUUAUUUCUCAUUUUCAUAAUAAUUCCAUGUUUCUGAUUUUUUUUGCAGAUUGCCAUAUGUUGAAAAGUCUGUGGUUUCUUCAGUAAUAUUUAAUUGAGGUGAUGUUUGUUUACUUUUCGUGUAUCAUCAUUUGGGGCACGUUUUUCAUAAUCUAACCAUGAUAGGUAUAUUUUCUUGUUUUGUUGCCAUCGUUUAAUAAGUUCUUUUUUUUGUAGCAGGUGGUUUUAAUAAUUUUAAUGUUGUUUCCUUGCCCAUGUUUUGUUGUAGGUCAUCUUGGGUAUGUGUUUUAUCUAAUUUCUUACAAGAGACAUUUUGCCGUUUUCCUAAUGAGUUCAUUUAAUGUAUGUUCUAGUGCUUUUCAUUGCACGAUUUAAUAAUUGAUGUUAUGAAGUUGUUUUAUAAGUAUUUAAUCUCAGUAUCUUUGAAUCAAGUAUUUGGGUUAAUAUUUUUUUUGUCUUGAGCUGUUUUUGGUCUUUUAAAUUUAUUCCUCUUGAGCCUAUUAAUGGUUAGUCUUCGUUUAAAUGUCAUUAUUUUGCAUUUGUUUUGUUUUACUAAUUUUGUUUCAGUGAGAUGCAGUAAAAGGUUAGUGGUUUUCUUGUUAGAAUUUUGUCGUUUCUCUUUUGAAUCUUUUCUUUAAGCACUAUUAUAAAGUUUUAUAGUUUUGAUACAAUGUAUGUAUACAAUUUUGUACUGUGGGAGUAAGUGACUUCCAGACGAUAUUUGGGUUGUGUUUUUAAAUUGUGUUGUUGACUUUGGUCAAGUUUAGCCAGAGAGCAAACUUUUUAUUUUAGGCAGGUCCUCUGAGCCAGAGCCAGUGAGCCAGUGCCAAGUCCUGUUGAGAAGUGUUUAGGCUUCACCAGCACUUUUCAUUUUUUGCAGGCCUCAGUCAUUUUUUUAUCAAACCAUAUAUCUGCCAUGGAAGAUCCAAUCACUCAUUUUUAAUAAUAGUUUAAAUUUAGAUUAAUAUAUUUUGUGAUUUUAUUUGUUUUUAAAUAAUAAUUAAUAUUUUUUUUUUUGAGUGCUAACUUUGAUUCAUUGCUUUUCUAUUUUGUUUGUCUUGCUAGUGUCAUCUUUUAAAAUAACAUUUGAAUAUAUCCGUUUUGUUUUUUGUCUUGUCAUCCAAAACAUAUACUUUUUAAAAUUUCUGUUUUGUAGGUUAUGUGUGUGUUAGUUCAUGUGGGGAUGUGGUGUGUUGUAUGUCUUGUACAUCUUCCACACGAUACAGCCAUUGCACAUGUGUUCCACACAUUACACCGUGUAGUGUCAUCAAUUUAAUAAUUUUUUUUAAUUUGUGUUAACUUUUUUUAACUUAGAUACUGUUCUUGUUUUUGAUUUGUGUACUAGGGUUGUUGCUGUAUGACAUCUCUCCUGUGGGGUGUCUGCUGCAUGGAUUUUGCUAGGGUGGUUGCGGCUUCGGCUCGGUGUUGCUGCGACUCACCGUUUCAGCCAUCUCUGGUGAAUUUCGUGUAGUGGAGUUCUGCUUGGUGGGAUUGUCGUAUAGUGACACAUUCUUCAUUGUAAGGUAUGGUUUCUACUUUGAUUUCUUCUCAUAACAUUUUGUUCGAUUAACUACAGGCAGUUAUUUUUAUUCACUUCCCUUUUGCUGAAUCUUAAAUUUGUUCAGGUUACAUUUUGUGUUAGUGGUCAAGCUUGCUUUUGCAGGUGCUAAAAUUAUUUUUUGAGUGUCUAAGGUAUGGGACUUAGUCAUUCACCUUUGGACGACCGUUUUCUUAAUUUUAUUUUCAAUUUUGGUGUUGUCGUUUUGAAUAAGCAUUUUAGAAUUUUGUUUUCUUUUUUUUUGUGGCUCAUAUUUCUUUCGUAUUUGAUCAGUAUUGUCAAUGUAAGUAUUGUUAAACUUUGAUUAGGUAUUCUUCUAUUUGAAAAUUUUUUUAAAUUUUAUCAUGAUGUGUUGUUUCAACUGCAGUGUUCAGAAAGGUAUCGUAUGAUCAGGGUCUUAGUGACCAGGAUUUAUGCAGGGGUGUAUAGUCCCCAUUUUUCUUUAUAAGCCGACGGGCAUUUUAUACGAGGUAUCGUCCUCUUUUGUUGUAGUAUGUAGUUGAAAAGUCGACAUAUGUGCAUUUACUUACACGUAAAUAGAAUUUAGAUAAUGCCUGGAAUGCAUGCUUCCAGAAUGCAUUUAUGUUUCACUGAUUAGCUAUUCUAACGUUCGCAGGAGAUUAGCAUAGAAAGGUUGAUGGAAUCCAUGAUAGUAGAGAUCUCUGACCUGUUAGUGAACCAGGCCAAUUCUCAAACAUUAUUACGACAGAAUUUUGACGCUUACCUUGGCCUCGUGUCUCCCACGUGAAUGCGAUGCCGUAGCAAGCAUAGCCACAGAUGACCAUUAAUGAACAUUUUCUCUACACACAAUACCAGUAAGGAGAGACAAGAUUUCAUGGUUUUAUUUUUAGGUCAAUUUCAUUUUAAAACAGGUUUAUUUUUUGUGUUGGUAUUUUUUUUAGUUUUAUACAUCAUCCUCAUUAAUAAAUAUAAGAUAAUUAAUUUUUAAAAAAAUUAUGUUCAAAUUAUUCUUAUUCAAAAUUUUUUACCAAAAAUAGUUAUUUUUAUUGUGACUUAAGAUGCAUUUUUACAAUAAAUGUAUAUUUUUCAUAAGCAUGUUAAGCAAUUAAUUACUCAGGAUAAUAAAACUUAAUCAGUACUCGCUAUUUAUUACAUUUUGGCAAACGAAUUUGAUGUCAGAGUUUGCCCAACUUACAUUAAUACUAUAGGUAAAACCAAAAUAUUGUAAUUUUUACGUAUCCUUGUAUCCAUAGUAUAAAUUUUCGUGUUCAUUAUUUCUGUCGCAGCUUUAAAGCUCAUAGCUUUUACUCAUGGCAUUUCAACUGCGAUGCAUUUGUUUCAUAGUUGUUUCGUCAAUAUAGGUAGUUUUAAUGUAAGGCAUUCAAAAAAGUUCUCUAAUAUUAUUAUAAAUACAGGAAAGUAAAACAUGGAAUAUAAAAAUAAAUUUAUUGGUAGAAAUUUUUUAAAAAAACUGAUUACAUAUAUAUUAAGCAACAUUAUAAGGGCACAUACCACACGUAUUACAUUUAACACUUACUACUAGAAAUUAUUUAAAAAUUUAACCAUGAACUUCAGGAGCCCAAAUGUUAUCCAGAGAACCAUACUAUACCAUAUAAUUUUCAAUGCUGUAUUGGCUAAAUAAAACCUGAAACAAACAGAUUAAUAUUUGCUUAAAUUACUUACGUGGGCUUAUAGAGAAUAUGAAAUACCGUAUUGGUCCGAAUAUAAGGCGACCAUUUUUACAUAAACGAGAGAUGCAAAAAUUGGAAGUCGCCUUAUUUUCGCACCCAAGACGUCAGAACCGCAAACAUUAGUUCCAAGCUGAAAGCUACAGUAGAAACAUUGUUUAACAAAACGUUCACAAUUUUUUAUAUUAACUAAAACUUUGUUACCUCACACGGGGAAAAACCAUAAAUCCACCUAAUAUUGCAGUAAUUGACAAUUGUUUGAAGUUGAAAAUUAAAAUAUUUGUUCUUGAGUAAAAACGUGAAUGUUGAAGCAUCUCAAAAUGGCAACCUUUUAUUUCACAAUUCAUAUUUGUACUUUGUGUACAAUCGCGUGUUAACAUUUACGGUAAUUUUUCUUCAGAUUUUUAACGGAAAUAUUUGUACUAAAACAUCACAGUUAUUUUCAGAACGAUUGUUUACGUUUACAAACAUUUCGGAUGUAAUGUUUGGAAAUUCACGGCUGCCAACUGUCUUUCCACAAUAUUUCUUUGUUGUAAAACGAACAUUGCCGAACACGCACGAAGACGCCAUAUUAAUAGGAAUUUGGUACGUUGCUUCAAAAGCUAUUUUAAUAAUCCACUCUUUAUUUAUGUAAAAACCUUUCAUAAUUAUAAUAGAUUAUUCUUUCAAAUUCAUAGAACAGACUCUCUCUGUCAGAGAGUAAUAUGGACAAAUAUACGCGGUCACGUAACCGAAGUUAUUCUUGGCCGUAUGCUUCAUCAUGUCAGCUAGCCACUUGUUUUGUUCCGGCAAGAUGCAUUCUUUGUUUGCUUUUUUUACGUUUAACACACUACUAAAUAGUAAUACGCCUUGUUCUGUGGUAAUAUGUAGCUUAAGUCAAACGGAAAGUUAAAUGCUGUAUUUUAAGAGGGAUUAAUAGCCAUUGUAAAAAUUUUAAAUUCGUAGAUACAGUAAACUGUGAAAAAUGAACAAUCACACAUUGGUGGAACGGCGGGGAACGAGCCCUAGACAAAUAAACAGCUCUGAAGAUGACAAUUAUGCAGCUUCAUUAGAGUAAACGUACGAAAAGAUUUCUAGUGUAAUACUUAAAAAUGUAAAUAUUUUCUAAUUGUUUUCUUUUGACUUUUAGGGUAGGCCAUUCAAACUUAUUUUAAAUAAGUAAUGUGAUAAAUAUAAAUUAAUUGUUAUACAUAAAUGCAAAAACAAUUUAUCAACACAAAAUGUAUGUCUAAUGAAUUUUCACAUUAAUUUAUACCAAAAAUUAUUUUUACAUUUGUUUGGCCUCCUGAAACUGCAGGUCGCCUUAUAUUCGGGGUCGCCUUAUAUUCGGGCCAAUACGGUACAUGAUUUGCAUGCAGCGAUUUAGUGAAAGUCCUUCUACUGCACAAACAGGUAAACACUUCCUCAGAGUUCACAGAAACAUCCUUUACUGGCAAAUAAUCAUGAUGCCCGCAAAAAUAUUUCCCCGCUGAAUAUACAAACAACGCAACAAGGCAGAUGCCAGCCAUGGAGAAUAGCUAGCCAGACUCUUCAGUAGCAAAGUCAGUCGUGUAAAUAACAAGAGUCAUCCCGGUUAGCCUACGUCAUACAGUUAUGCACAAGAAGACUUAACAUAAUCUUACCACACUGUGUGUGUGUGUGUGUGUGAGAGAGAGAGAGAGAGAGAGAAAGAGAGCGUGAGAGAGAGAGAAAUAAAAAUAACAACUAUCAAAUACUGAAGGUUAAAAUAAUUUAAUUUAACUCUCAGUAUUUUUACUGAAAAACUUUAAGCUAUCAGAAGACGUAUUAAAAGUUUGUUUGUUUUAAGUACUAUCGAAAGUACUUAAUUAUUAUGAUCAAAACCAGAAAAAUAUUUAAGUCUGAAACAAAAUGUUUUUAUUAGCCUUAGUAUUUGAUAUUAUGAUUAAAAAUAAUUUUGGAGUGCUAAUGAAUAGUAAAAACAUUAUCACAAUUAUUAAAAAAAAAUAUUUAUAUAGUAAUUUCAUAGCAUACAGGAAAAUAAAUGAAAAAUUCCGCCAAAAGAAUAAAUUUGCGUUUAAACUACUUCGAUAAAUUCCACACGUGGACGGUCGUUUAUUAAUGUGAGGGUUGCGGAUUUGAUUCCAAUACCCUGGUAUGACAUAAAAUUAUGAGCAUUGGGUUAUUGGCAGCCGAAGGUUUCGAAGCCCACAUGAGUCUUGUAGGUCCGUAAAUACCGCGUGACGUUAACUAAGAUAAAAAUAGAGCGAGUUUUUCAGAAGUCGCCAGUGAUGUGUAACAUCUAACAUACCUUAUCACAAACUCUGUAUUUACACUAUUUUAAUACAAAACAUAAAAUUAUGAAUUUGUAUUAUAUAUUAUACAUUAUUAUUUCACAACGUCUCUAUAGGUUAUUAGAAAAUCCACAUGGCAAUACCUCGCGCUAUUCAAGACUACUGUUAGCGGAACGAACGUAAAACAGCUGUCUCUUCUGUCUCUCUCUCUCUCUCUCUUUUCAAAUGCCGUGGAAAUUUCUGCGCUCGCUGACUCGCUGCAGCACGAGCGCCAACUGUGGGCCUCGCCGAAAAAUUAAAUGGUGACCACUUCUCCUUACUUCCUGCAACACAAUUAAGCUACGGCCAUACAGAGAGCUAUGCUCGCUAUAUUCGCGAUGUUCGCGAUCCUGGUGACGUCACCGGGUGUUUAGUUCUCGCCAUUUUUUCUAAACGUCGAUGAUUUGCACCUGCGCAAAUAAGCAAAAAAUCUGUUUCCACACGUAAUUUUGCUGACUUCUGUGUUUGCUUUUUAUGAAGUUUAAUUUAUCUCAGUGUUGUGCUUUAAAUAGUGAUGUCGUGUCAACGGCUAAGUUCAGUGAAGUAUUACGAAUGAAUAAAUCUAUGGAAGAAUAUAUAAGGCAGAAUAUGCAGGACAAUGUCUGGGAUUUGGUUUCAAGAUUUUCAUGGCACCAUUUAUUUUUUACGUUACAAUACUGUGAGCCAGCGGAAUAUUAUCAUCGUCGGAAUCAUCACUCUAGUCCCACGGCAUGCGUCUCUCCGACAUCGUCAGCUAGACUAUCCUCUCUGGCCACCUGGCGCAGCGAACAUAGCGAACAUCGUGAACAUAGCGUAGGUUCUGUGUGGCCUCGGCUUUACGUCGCACUCGCGAAAUCACUCCCACCAAAUGCCGUACACUGAGAGCUAGGAUGUUACACAUAAUAAAACACACUACUAUGAGCCGAAAAUCAGUAAUUUAAUGGCUCAAUUUUUCCAUUUUUAUUUAUUAAAAUAUUUUUGCUUUCCCAUAAGCUAGAGUACCUCAUCAAAAUUUAUUUUCUCAUCUAUACCACCCAGGGCUAUACAUAUUAAAACUUUAUUAGUGGGUUUUAGAGAGUCUCAACGUCUCAGCAGAGACAUGCAGACGCUUACACGCAGCGUAGGCUAGCCGAGUCAAUUUUAUCUCGCCGGCAUGCAGGAACAGACAUGAUAACUCUCCCUGCCUGACGUGCCUUCCACCUUGUUUCUCACGCAGGGGUACCUGCCUCGUCAGGCGAGCCUAGCUCGCUUUCCUAGGCUCGAGGCCCUGGCGAGCAAAGCGGAUGUGCUGGUCUCGGCAUAAAACAAGCACUUCCCCGCCACCCCUGGCCCUCUUAGGUUUUCUGCUAUGCUUCCAGGAACCAUGACCGAGGCAAGACCAUGCCCCUUCCCUCGUCAACCCCUCCUCUCCUUUAGGAACAAGCCACGCCUAUGCUUGUGCUCCACGCACGAGGCUUGUGCGCGAUCUCUCGAGCACAACCGAAACUAAGCAUGCUAAUGUCUGUUUCUCCCGCCAGGGAACACCACCUUCCAAUCCCCCUUUGCCUUAGACGGCAUACAGCAACGCCACCGCUUGGUGCGCUAUCUCAUGGCGCCUGUCCCAACUAAAGAUGGCGCUCAUAGAGAGUUUUAUAUUUUUCUUGUGGCACAAGCCCUGACCAAUCCCAAGGUACUUUUCCUCCCAUGGCCCGCUUAGCUCCGCCCACUCUGUUUCUCUCUUCCCCCCCUCCCCCUUUUCGGUUUUGAGCCCAUGCAGGAACUAAGGGACUCUCUCAAGUAGAGAGAGUCGACAAUCUACUGUGGUACAGGGAGCAUCCUACAUCUGCCGCGCUACUUCUAUCGCGACCGCGUCUCUCCUACUAAGAAGUCGGACAUCAAAGAAUAUAGGAUGUAGUCGCGACGACCAGGGGAAAAUCCCCUUACAACUUUAAGUUUAAACAUCAUAUUAGUGUUAGUGUUUUUUCUGGCGAAUUAAGUGCGUGCAACCGCGCUAGUGGACGUCUACCAUCAUGGAUAGAUAGUACCACCGACCUACCCCACAAUUUGGUGAGUAGAGAUUUUAGUACCCUUUUGAUUUCCUGUUUUCUUGAGCCCUUUGUGGCCGAGAACUUUCCCACUGGCCAUAACCACUUAAUAACGCUGUGCGAACUUUUGUUUUCACAGUGGGGUUUUCCAUCCCCAGUGAUGGGUAGACAACCACAUCUACCCGCACUGAGUUCCUGAUUUCGGCCAUCUAAAUUCCAUGCAUCGUGCUGUCAACUUUAGUCCGCUAUCCGCCCCGUCACGCCGUUCGGAUGUCAGCACUUCGCAUGCAGCUAAGUCUAUGUUUGGAAGACACAAUGUAAGAAAUCUUAAAGUUUUAAAUUCUCUACGAACAAUUUGCGAACUAUUCAACUACCAAUUAAAGAAAAAGGUAUAAAAUAUAGUAAUCAAAGGUACUUGUCAAUCCAAAUAAUGAAAAAUUGUUUAUUUUUGAUUUUAUUACUCUGAAACCUUGUUUGUGCAACUUGCUUUAAAAUAAAUGUAAUCUGUAAAGUAAUUAUCAAAGUAUCCGCGGCCGGCCUGCGCGUGUUAAAAUUCAAUUCUAUUAUAAUUUAAUGUACUAAACUUUGAGUUUACUGAACCUGUGGAUUUUGUUAAAAAUAUAUAUUGUCACUAGUUUGUAAGUCAUUAAAGUGGUGACCAAAAGUAUUAACUACCAUACCUAUUAUGAAAAAUCUGGCUUGUUCAAAAUAAAAUAAGUUAACCAUUAAAAUAAGCUAGAAGUAACCAGAUUUAAUUGUUUUAUUUAUAUUUUUAUAGAUUACGAUCCACCUUAACACCCACCAACCUUUUGGAGUGUUAACACCUAAAUUCUUUGUAUUGUACCUGUGUUCCGCCUCUGUUCACUGUUAAUAUGUCUUCUUGACGUCACAGGUCAAUUACAAAUGGUAGCAGAGCAUGGUUUCUUACAAAAUGGUAGCAUAAUUGGUUUGUUGUCUUUUGGUUGUCACUACCUUUUUAAUAUAGGUAUAACUUAUAAAACUUCUUUAUGUUAUAAGAUUUUUUUGUGAACUGCAUGCGAGCGUUUUGUCGUAAUUUCGCGCCGCGUAUCUUUUCUUUCAAGUGAGUCCAUUACCCCUACACUAAAUUAUAAAUUUUCUUCAUUGAUUCUGGCUAUGCAUCUUCUUGCAGGAAUUCUUGUAUGUUUUUCUCCCGUUAUCAUUUCCAGCCAGCUGUGUCGUAAAUGAUACAUUUGUUUACGUUUUGCCUCUUACCUUAGGCCCGCAACCAUUUUGACAAGGCUGCCAACUUUGCACACCUAAAUGUUACGCCGUCUAACGCCACGUCUUUUGCCGUGCGUGAUGCCAGCACGCCAUUAUCUUUGGGCGUUGGCAGCCCUGGGCCAGCUAUCCGCCGCCACCCCUACCCCCUCCUGCGCAUGUCCUGGCGCGCAGUCGUCAGAGCGACGGAAGUGACGCGUCUUAUCACCAGACGUAAACAGACCACCCCUUCCCCCCUCCUGUUGGUGGUCGGCGACCUGCGACACCCACGUGGUCUACGACGUUAGUCCUUGUUGAUAAACUCCUGUCAGCUGCUAGCUGUAGCCAACACACAAGCCCUGUGUCAGGGCAAUUUACCAUGUUUCCUUCACUAAUAUUAACCUUAUAAUGUGAGAAAUAAUGAAUACAUUAUAAAAUUUUCAUUGUUGAAAAUUUGUAACUUCAAAUAAUUUUAGUAAAAAUAAUUAUAAAAUAAAUAAAACAAAAAAACUCCCCUAAUUUUUUAUUUAUGUGCAAGGGCAUUUACUUUAAGCAUAUAAGAUUAAAAACAGGUGUUUUAUACUUCAUAUAUUAAAUUUUAUAGAUUUUAAGUAUACACUAAACAUUAAUGCAUAAAUGUAGAGCAUAAUAUUAAAAUACAGUGUCUCAUAAAAUAAUAUAUAAAUAAAAACAUAUUUAAUAUUUUACGCAUAAUUUUUUUUAAUCUUUAACUACAUGGAAUUUAAGUGUAUGCUAAACAGUAUUGUUAUAAAAGAUAAUAAUAAAAUUAAGAAUUCUUUUGAAAUUCAGUUGAAUACGUAAAUAACAAUUAAUUUCUCGCCCUAUGUUUAUAGAUUAGUAUAUUUCCUCUUAAAUACAUAAUAUUCAGAGGGAAUGUUUUGUAAAUUAUAUCCAAAAAAAGAUCACUUAACAUUUAAAGAGGUAUCUGUAUUUUUUACUGAGAACUUAAUUGAGACUAAAGGGACUCUACACAUUACUUCAAUAGAUGCAACAUAAAAUAAUAUUAAUAAUACAGUAUUAUUCCCAUCAUAUUUAGUUGUUUACAAUGGUACAAAGAUACCUGUGAUUUAAUUAUGUUACUAUACAAUUUUAUAAUAAGCACCUAUCUAUGUGUCUAGCUUUGUUUUGAUAAUUUUUGAGAGAGCUGUAAGUGGCGUAAUCACACUUGCCUUUCAUGAAAAGGUUCUUAAAUAAAUUUAUGUAUGUGUAGGUCAUGAUUUCAAUACAUUCCCUAGGCUAGCAAAAUCUUGGUGACUCUCAAAAUAUUUUAUGAAAUUUUUUAUUCACAUCGAAACGUCUAUCUGCCAUUAAGCAACAAAUUUAAUUUUCUCAUAUGGAUUAUAAAACAUAAAUUUUUUUUAGUAAUCUUUUACUUUAUUGACUUUGUUCAUGUCACUAAUGUUGACACAGUUUUGAUCGUCAUUUUCUUUCUCUCUCGUAUGUGUUUAAGGUAGCUCAGCGAGGCCUCUCUGAUAGCAAAGUUUAUUUUAACCUAAUUUUCAAUUUAUUAUUUGACUGUCUAUAUUUAUUUUGAUAACAUACGAUAACAUUCAAUGUGUAAAAUUAUUAUGUAAAUUUUAAUUGCGGUAUUGCCAAGUCAAUAAAUUACAAAGUAAACAAGUAGUAUUUUUUUUAGGAAUUGAAUGUUUCCUGUUUAUGCAUUUAGCAGUGAAUUUUAAGUUAAAAUUCUGGCAAUUUAUAUUGAUUUUUCAUUUUUAAAUUUAGAUUAAAAAACAUUAAAAAAAAAAUUAAAUGUUGAUGUACAGCUAUGUACACAAAAUCUGAGCACUAUAGCUGGUACAUCUAGGUACAUAAAAACAGAGUUUAUAAUUUUCUUUCGCACUCGCCCCAAAGUUCGUAAUUUGUUUUUCAUAAUUAACAUGACCUUGUUUAUAUAGUUAAGAGCCUUGUGACUUCCAGACGGCAUACUGGUUUUUAUUUUUGUGUGUUCUAAAGUAGAACUUAGGUCACGCUAGCCACAGUGCAGCACUAAAUUGGUCACUGAGCCAAAACGCGCCAGGAUCCGGGUCCUCUGAGUGAAAUAUCUCAUGACCACUCGAGUGUUCUUUGGGUUCCAGUCCCACCACUCACAUUUGGACGAUCUCUGUUCAAAUCCCUUUUCAGGCAGUGUAAAACCUAAAUGCCUGCCAUGGAAGCUCCGAUAGCUCUAUUAAGUAAAGUCAACCCUUUAGAUUUAUAAUGUGGUUUAUUUUAGGUUUAUAAUUUUAUAUAACUAUUUAAAUUUGAGUGCUAAGGGUAAUUGACUGACGGUUUGUUUUUCAGAAACAUUUAAGUAGUAAAUAUUAAACUAACUAUUUUCUAAUUAUCAGAGUCGUUUUAGCGGAAACUCCUACACCUUUUUACAGAAAUAUUUUUUUCCUAAAUUUAUCAUUCUAGAAAUUGUGGUUGUUCUCUUGGGUUUCAAACCCAAUCUAGCUUUCGGGAAUUUCCCGCUUAGGCAUCACUGUUCCAGCCCGUUGGACUGAUCACCCUUCAGAGUAUGGACAAUAGGAUCCUAUGUUAAGCUAAUAAGUGCCAUUCUGGGACCGAGGUUUCACUUCGCUUUUGAGCAAGCGUCAAAUUUAUUCCGUCCUAUCCAUAGCCUGAUUGAGCGGGCAAAGUCCCAAUGCCUUCGGCUUCUUGUGGAAAGACGUUUUGUACAGGGGUUAUAUUCCCAUUUAGUUUGUAAGUUACAGAGCUAUCAUGCUCAUAUACGGGUUACCAUACCCAUUUAGAGGGGUUACAAUCCCCGUUCGUCACUGAGUGCUCAAGGAGGCUUAUCCCUUGUUUCGGCCUCAGUGUUUUUCGGCCUUCCUCAUAGUGCCCAUUUUGAGAAUGUACACCAUGUCCAACAUCUGAGAUCAACUUUUUUAGAGUUCCUCAUUCACCAUAGAGUUUUUUUUUAACAAUCUAUAAUACAGAUAUCUCAAUUCUAACCUUUAAUAUUACCGUACAUUAAAGUUUAUGCAAAUUUAAUCAGGGUAUUUACCUCAGGAGUCUGACCUAUUUUCUACCCUGGGCUCCGCCAUCAAGCGGGGGAGUAUGAGCCGAAAAUCAGUAAUUUAAUGGCUCAAUUUUUCCAUUUUUAUUUAUUAAAAUAUUUUUGCUUUCCCAUAAGCUAGAGUACCUCAUCAAAAUUUAUUUUCUCAUCUAUACCACCCAGGGCUAUACAUAUUAAAACUUUAUUAGUGGGUUUUAGAGAGUCUCAACGUCUCAGCAGAGACAUGCAGACGCUUACACGCAGCGUAGGCUAGCCGAGUCAAUUUUAUCUCGCCGGCAUGCAGGAACAGACAUGAUAACUCUCCCUGCCUGACGUGCCUUCCGCCUUGUUUCUCACGCAGGGGUACCUGCCUCGUCAGGCGAGCCUAGCUCGCUUUCCUAGGCUCGAGGCCCUGGCGAGCAAAGCGGAUGUGCUGGUCUCGGCAUAAAACAAGCACUUCCCCGCCACCCCUGGCCCUCUUAGGUUUUCUGCUAUGCUUCCAGGAACCAUGACCGAGGCAAGACCAUGCCCCUUCCCUCGUCAACCCCUCCUCUCCUUUAGGAACAAGCCACGCCUAUGCUUGCGCUCCACGCACGAGGCUUGUGCGCGAUCUCUCGAGCACAACCGAAACUAAGCAUGCUAAUGUCUGUUUCUCCCGCCAGGGAACACCACCUUCCAAUCCCCCUUUGCCUUAGACGGCAUACAGCAACGCCACCGCUCGGUGCGCUAUCUCAUGGCGCCUGCCCCAACUAAAGAUGGCGCUCAUAGAGAGUUUUAUAUUUUUCUUGUGGCACAAGCCCUGACCAAUCCCAAGGUACUUUUCCUCCCAUGGCCCGCUUAGCUCCGCCCACUCUGUUUCUCUCUUCCCCCCCUCCCCCUUUUCGGUUUUGAGCCCAUGCAGGAACUAAGGGACUCUCUCAAGUAGAGAGAGUCGACAAUCUACUGUGGUACAGGGAGCAUCCUACAUCUGCCGCGCUACUUCUAUCGCGACCGCGUCUCUCCUACUAAGAAGUCGGACAUCAAAGAAUAUAGGAUGUAGUCGCGACGACCAGGGGAAAAUCCCCUUACAACUUUAAGUUUAAACAUCAUAUUAGUGUUAGUGUUUUUUCUGGCGAAUUAAGUGCGUGCAACCGCGCUAGUGGACGUCUACCAUCAUGGAUAGAUAGUACCACCGACCUACCCCACAAUUUGGUGAGUAGAGAUUUUAGUACCCUUUUGAUUUCCUGUUUUCUUGAGCCCUUUGUGGCCGAGAACUUUCCCACUGGCCAUAACCACUUAAUAACGCUGUGCGAACUUUUGUUUUCACAGUGGGGUUUUCCAUCCUCAGUGAUGGGUAGACAACCACAUCUACCCGCACUGAGUUCCUGAUUUCGGCCAUCUAAAUUCCAUGCAUCGUGCUGUCAACUUUAGUCCGCUAUCCGCCCCGUCACGCCGUUCGGAUGUCAGCACUUCGCAUGCAGCUAAGUCUAUGUUUGGAAGACACAAUGUAAGAAAUCUUAAAGUUUUAAAUUCUCUACGAACAAUUUGCGAACUAUUCAACUACCAAUUAAAGAAAAAGGUAUAAAAUAUAGUAAUCAAAGGUACUUGUCAAUCCAAAUAAUGAAAAAUUGUUUAUUUUUGAUUUUAUUACUCUGAAACCUUGUUUGUGCAACUUGCUUUAAAAUAAAUGUAAUCUGUAAAGUAAUUAUCAAAGUAUCCGCGGCCGGCCUGCGUGUGUUAAAAUUCAAUUCUAUUAUAAUUUAAUGUACUAAACUUUGAGUUUACUGAACCUGUGGAUUUUGAUAAAAAUAUAUAUUGUCACUAGUUUGUAAGUCAUUAAAGUGGUGACCAAAAGUAUUAACUACCAUACCUAUUAUGAAAAAUCUGGCUUGUUCAAAAUAAAAUAAGUUAACCAUUAAAAUAAGCUAGAAGUAACCAGA
Bacillus rossius redtenbacheri is the source of this 15624-nucleotide long non-coding RNA. RefSeq lists it as uncharacterized. The transcript is spliced from 2 exons. The record is from RefSeq and is a predicted model, not a curated record. NCBI's taxonomy places the organism in Eukaryota, Metazoa, Arthropoda, Insecta, Phasmatodea, Bacillidae.